CACGUAGGGUGCGAGCGUUGUCCGGAAUUAUUGGGCGUAAAGAGCUCGUAGGCGGUGUGUCGCGUCGGCCGUGAAAACCUGCAGCUUAACUGUGGGCUUGCGGUCGAUACGGGCAUCACUGGAGUUCGGCAGGGGAGACUGGAAUUCCUGGUGUAGCGGUGAAAUGCGCAGAUAUCAGGAGGAACACCGGUGGCGAAGGCGGGUCUCUGGACCACAACUGACGCUGAGGCGCGAAAGCUAGGGGAGCAAACAGG
This 254-nucleotide ribosomal RNA is filed under the name uncultured bacterium. RNAcentral's name for it is "partial 16S ribosomal RNA". It matches the Rfam family "Bacterial small subunit ribosomal RNA", at positions 524 to 776 of the family's 1533-position model. The record is from RNAcentral.